UCUGAGCUGCCUGUAGUGGAUGA
This 23-nucleotide non-coding RNA is filed under the name Cricetulus griseus (Chinese hamster). The record is from RNAcentral. Lineage: Eukaryota; Metazoa; Chordata; Mammalia; Rodentia; Cricetidae.